CCUAAACGGUUUUUACCCCUUGUGUGCAAAACGGUCCGUUACAACCAUGUUCAGCUGGUAUACAACGCCAGUAAAACUUUUUAGAAUGCGUAAAACCGUUACAGAUGAGUGUUGGAGGCGCUGUGGGGAAAGAGGGACAUAUUUACAUAUGUGGUGGGAAUGCCCAACUAUAAUCAGGUUCUGGAAAUCAGUAGAGAACUUGUUUAAUCGGGUAUUUGAUAGAACUCCCGGGUAUACCUCUUAAAUAGGCCUCUGGAGGGAUGGACCAAGAGAGAACAGAAACUUAUACACAAAAUUACUUUAAGCGCUCGCAGAGUGAUUGCAACUCUUGGUUGACUCCAGGGGGUCCAAUUUUCUCAGGAGUAAUCACCAGGAUCAAGGAGAGCAAACUGAUGGACGAUCUGAUGGCCAGGGUGAAAGUGACCUCUGCAUCUUUCCACAAAAUAUGGGAACCAUGGGAGAACAGCCUAGAGAGAUUGUUAAGAGAUCUGUGGGGCAUACACGCUCUACUGCUGAGGGUGACGGGCGGAGCUGGUCAGCCAAUCCUUAUCUGGGGACACGCGACUGACAAGUCCCUUUGGAACCCUCAGUAACACGGGAGCGACACCUGUCCUUGUUCUGUAUAGCGCUAUGAGGCCCCUCCCCUCUUCCUUCCCCCGUUCCCUUUCCUCUUUCUUCUCUUUCUUUCGUUCCUUUUCCUUACUUUUUUCCCUUCUCUAAAAGGGGACAGACAUGCGCACUGACAGUGUGGACAAGACACAUUGAGGGAGGAGGACAUCAGUGAAAAACUUUAGAUUACAUGAGGCAUGAUAGGUUGAGCAUGACAUAUAGGUCGGGAAUGCAGCGGAUAGUUGUUAUCGGUACUCUCUGGAAGAGCAGAAGGAAGUGUGUAAGGGUCUAUUGGAGAGUAGACACCAGACCGGAAUUAGCCUAGCAUGUGCGGAAGUAUAGUUACGCACCUAGGAUAGAAACUAUGAUCAAUGGAGAGGUAUUUACGACUUCCAGGAGAGGAUAACUCUUUAUGACUGUUAAGUUAUUUGAAAAUUGGUAUACUCACUAAGGAGGUCAACACUAAGACUUCUAAGGGCAAUGUGUUACAUGAUAAUGACAAGCUGAUACACACGUCAUUGAUACUAUUUGUAUGUUCAAAAGGUAACUACAAAAAAAAAAAACCUUGACGGACAGUGAAAAUGUUAACUCCCAGUGUAAAUUAUGCAUUGUCUACUGGAUUACUAUAUGUAACAUAGAUCGUAUGUGAUGCAUGAUGCUUGGCUUAUGAAUAAACCUAACGCUGCGGAC
Pelobates cultripes (western spadefoot toad) is the source of this 1299-nucleotide non-coding RNA. NCBI's taxonomy places the organism in Eukaryota, Metazoa, Chordata, Amphibia, Anura, Pelobatidae. The record is from the annotation of a GenBank genome assembly.